Molecule: ribosomal RNA, 315 nt
Filed under: uncultured archaeon
Lineage: Archaea
Description: bacterial SSU rRNA
Rfam family: Archaeal small subunit ribosomal RNA
Source: RNAcentral
UUAAGUCAGGCAACAAGCGAGACCCACGCCAACAGUUGCCAGCUCGUCCUCCGGGAUGGUGGGGACACUGUUGGGACCGCCUCUGCUAAAGAGGAGGAAGGAAUGGGCAACGGUAGGUCAGCAUGCCCCGAAUUAUCCGGGCUACACGCGGGCUACAAUGGGUGGGACAAUGGGUAUCGACACCGAAAGGUGAAGGCAAUCUCCUAAACCCAUCCUUAGUUCGGAUUGUGGGCUGCAACUCGCCCACAUGAAGCUGGAAUCUGUAGUAAUCGUGUCUCAACAUGGCACGGUGAAUAUGUCCCUGCUCCUUGCACA